Molecule: ribosomal RNA, 468 nt
Filed under: uncultured bacterium
Lineage: Bacteria
Description: partial 16S ribosomal RNA
Rfam family: Bacterial small subunit ribosomal RNA
Source: RNAcentral
GACGAACGCUGGCGGCGUGCUUAACACAUGCAAGUCGAACGGAAAGGCCCUGCUUUUGUGGGGUGCUCGAGUGGCGAACGGGUGAGUAACACGUGAGUAACCUGCCCUUGACUUUGGGAUAACUUCAGGAAACUGGGGCUAAUACCGGAUAGGAGCUCCUGCUGCAUGGUGGGGGUUGGAAAGUUUCGGCGGUUGGGGAUGGACUCGCGGCUUAUCAGCUUGUUGGUGGGGUAGUGGUUUACCAAGGCUUUGACGGGUAGCCGGCCUGAGAGGGUGACCGGCCACAUUGGGACUGAGAUACGGCCCAGACUCCUACGGGAGGCAGCAGUGGGGAAUAUUGCACAAUGGGCGGAAGCCUGAUGCAGCAACGCCGCGUGCGGGAUGACGACCUUCGGGUUGUAAACCGCUUUCGCCUGUGACGAAGCGUGAGUGACGGUAAUGGGUAAAGAAGCACCGGCUAACUACGUG